This 131-nucleotide small nuclear RNA is filed under the name Tupaia belangeri chinensis (Chinese tree shrew). RNAcentral's name for it is "Tupaia chinensis (Chinese tree shrew) U2 spliceosomal RNA". It matches the Rfam family "U2 spliceosomal RNA". From Rfam's summary of the family: U2 is a small nuclear RNA (snRNA) component of the spliceosome (involved in pre-mRNA splicing). Complementary binding between U2 snRNA (in an area lying towards the 5' end but 3' to hairpin I) and the branchpoint sequence (BPS) of the intron results the bulging out of an unpaired adenosine, on the BPS, which initiates a nucleophilic attack at the intronic 5' splice site, thus starting the first of two transesterification reactions that mediate splicing. The record is from Rfam by way of RNAcentral. Lineage: Eukaryota; Metazoa; Chordata; Mammalia; Scandentia; Tupaiidae.
AUCGCUUCUCGGCCUUUUGGCUAAGAUCAAGUGUAGUAAUAGCCCAUAGUUUAUUUCACUUUAUCUAUUCAUCUGAUAAGCUUAGAUUUUUAAUUGUAAUAUGUACGUUACUUAUACUUAAUAUAGCCACU